GAUGAACGCUGGCGGCGUGCCUAAUACAUGCAAGUCGAGCGAACAGACGAGGAGCUUGCUCCUCUGACGUUAGCGGCGGACGCGUGAGUAACACGUGGAUAACCUACCUAUAAGACUGGGAUAACUUCGGGAAACCGGAGCUAAUACCGGAUAACAUGUUGAACCGCAUGGUUCAACAGUGAAAGACGGUCUUGCUGUCACUUAUAGAUGGAUCCGCGCCGCAUUAGCUAGUUGGUAAGGUAACGGCUUACCAAGGCAACGAUGCGUAGCCGACCUGAGAGGGUGAUCGGCCACACUGGAACUGAGACACGGUCCAGACUCCUACGGGAGGCAGCAGUAGGGAAUCUUCCGCAAUGGGCGAAAGCCUGACGGAGCAACGCCGCGUGAGUGAAGAAGGUCUUCGGAUCGUAAAACUCUGUUAUUAGGGAAGAACAAAUGUGUAAGUAACUAUGCACGUCUUGACGGUACCUAAUCAGAAAGCCACGGCUAACUACGUG
RNAcentral lists this ribosomal RNA (497 nucleotides) under uncultured bacterium. Its description in RNAcentral is "partial 16S ribosomal RNA". It matches the Rfam family "Bacterial small subunit ribosomal RNA", at positions 28 to 507 of the family's 1533-position model. The record is from RNAcentral.